AAUUUUUUUUCAUCCAUAGAAAUAGAUAGAGCACUACUGGUUAGGUCUAAAUGAAGGCUUUAAUUUAUUUCAGAUGUCACUCUGUCUCUAAAGAUCUAGUGUGAUCUCAACUCUGAUGUACAAAGAGACUGAUAAACCAUGUGAAGGAAGUCAGGCCAGGGACUCCAUUUCAUGUUCUUUUGAGAUGCAACAACUGAGCCUUUUCCUGCAUCUCGGUGGAAGUGAAAUGGAUUCUCUCUCUGUUAAUGUGACUCAUACCAGACUUCUGAAACCAUCACCCAAACAUGAGCAGAGUAGAUCUGCAGAUAGCAGAGCACCAAUACCUCUCUUCCUCUCCAAACUCCACCUUCAG
Molecule: long non-coding RNA, 352 nt
Filed under: Crocodylus porosus (Australian saltwater crocodile)
Lineage: Eukaryota; Metazoa; Chordata; Crocodylia; Crocodylidae
Description: lncRNA (ENSCPRG00005004647.1)
Source: RNAcentral